RNAcentral lists this ribosomal RNA (433 nucleotides) under uncultured bacterium. RNAcentral describes it as "partial 16S ribosomal RNA". It matches the Rfam family "Bacterial small subunit ribosomal RNA", at positions 29 to 507 of the family's 1533-position model. The record is from RNAcentral.
AACGAACGCUGGCGGCAUGCCUAACACAUGCAAGUCGAACGAGACCUUCGGGUCUAGUUGCGCACGGGUGCGUAACGCGUGGGAACCUGCCUUUAGGUUCGGAAUAACUCAGAGAAAUUUGAGCUAAUACCGGUUGAUGUCUUCGGACCAAAGAUUUAUCGCCUUUAGAUGGUCCCGCGUUGGAUUAGCUAGUUGGUGGGGUAAAGGCCUACCAAGGCGACGAUCCAUAGCUGGUCUGAGAGGAUGAUCAUCCACACUGGGACUGAGACACGGCCCAGACUCCUACGGGAGGCAGCAGUGGGGAAUAUUGGACAAUGGGCGAAAGCCUGAUCCAGCAAUGCCGCGUGAGUGAUGAAGGCCUUAGGGUUGUAAAGCUCUUUUACCCGAGAUGAUAAUGACAGUAUCGGGAGAAUAAGCUCCGGCUAACUCCGUG